Molecule: ribosomal RNA, 623 nt
Filed under: uncultured Alphaproteobacteria bacterium
Lineage: Bacteria; Pseudomonadati; Pseudomonadota; Alphaproteobacteria
Description: bacterial SSU rRNA
Rfam family: Bacterial small subunit ribosomal RNA
Source: RNAcentral
UCAAGUCGAGCGGGCCAUUGUCAGCGGCAGAGAUAACACGGGAACGUACCUGGUUAAUAACGCUGGGAAGAGCGUUAAUACGGAUACGCCUUUUGGGGAAAGGCUUGCUGCGAAGGAUCGGCCCUAAUCUGUUACAUAGUUGGGGGGGUAAUGGCCUACCAGGGGGACGUUCAGCACCUGGUAUGAGAGGCGAUCACCCACUCUUGGAGUGAGCCACGGCCCAGAAUCUUACCGAGGCAGCAGUGGGGAAUAUUGGCCAAUGGGCGCAAGCCUGAUCCCGCCAUGCCGCGUGAGUGAUGAAGGCCUUAGGGUUGUAAAGCUCUUUUGUCCGGGACGAUAAUGACGGUACCGAAGAAUAAGCCCCGGCUAACUUCGUGCCAGCAGCCGCGGUAAUACGAAGGGGGCGAGCGUUGCUCGGAAUCACUGGGCGUAAAGGGCGCGUAGGCGGCCAUUCAAGUCGGGGGUGAAAGCCUGGGGCUCAACCUCAGAAUUGCAUUCGAUACUUUUGGCUUGAGUUUGGUAGAGGUGGGUGGAAUUUCGAGUGUAGAGGUGAAAUUCGUAGAUAUUGCAAGAACACCAGUGCUUGGGGCCUGAACCCCUGACGCUGAGCGCGAAAGCGUGCU